Coturnix japonica (Japanese quail) is the source of this 2542-nucleotide long non-coding RNA. Ensembl annotates it as putative GPI-anchored protein PB15E9.01c. Lineage: Eukaryota; Metazoa; Chordata; Aves; Galliformes; Phasianidae. The record is from Ensembl.
AUGAAGAUCCAGAAGCUUUUCCGGAGACUGAGAAAGACAUUGAGAAGGUGCAGUGCUUGUGUGCACCCCAUGGACUACCCUGGUGAGGAAAAUCAGGGCCUUUUGGAACCUGAAGUUGAACAGGCAGAGGACAGCACAGAUGGAGUAUCAGCAGCAACUUCAUCCCCGCUCAGUCUCCCCAACAUGGGUAGAGUAGCAGCGGCAACUUCUGUCCCGAUCAAUCACUCCAACACAGCUGGAGUAGCAGAGGCAACUUCUGCCCCACUUGGUCUCUCCAAGACUGAUGGAGUAGCAGACAUAACUCCUGCCCCACUCCAUCUCUCUAACACGGAUAGACCAGAAGCGGCAGAUAAUGCCACGUUGGAUGACAACUGCAUAGAUAGAACAGCAGCAGCAAUUUCUGACCGGAUCAGUCUCUCUAACACCAAUGCAGGAGCAGUGGACACUCCUGCUCUGCUUGGUGUCUCCAGCACGGGAGGAGAAGCAGCGGCAGUUUCUGCCCCGUUCAAUGACUCCAAUCCAGCUGGAGUAGCAGAGGCAACUUCUGCCCCACUUGGUCUCUCCAAGACUGAUGGAGUAGCAGACAUAACUCCUGCCCCACUCCAUCUCUCUAACACAGGUAGACCAGAAGCGGAAGAUUAUGCCCUGUUUGAUGACAACUGCAUAGAUGGAACAGCAGCAGCAAUUUCUGACCUGAUCAGUCCCUCUAAGACCAAUGGAAUAGCAGUGGACACUUCUGACUUGCUUGGUCUCUCCAACACAGAUGGAGAAGCAGCAGCAGUUUAUGCCCCAUUCAAUGACUCCUACACAGCUGGAGCAGCAGAGGCAACUUCUGCCCCACUCGGUCUCUCCAACACCAAUGUACUGGAAGCGGCAGUUUAUGCCCCAUUUGAUGACAACUACAUAGAUGGAAUAGCGGCGGCAGUUUCUGCCCUGUUUGGUCUCUCUAACACCAAUGCAGGAGCAGCAGACACUUCUGCCCCACUUGAUCUCUCCAACAGAGAUGAAGCAGCAGUGGUAACACCUGCCCCGAUCAAUCACUCCAAUACAGCUGGAGUAGCAGAGGCAACUUCUGCCCCACUCCAUCUCUCCAACACCGAUACACUGGAAGCGGCAGUUUAUGCCCCAUUUGAUGACAACUAUGUAGAUGGAGUAGCAGCAGCAAUUUCUGCCCUGUUUGGUCUCUCUAACACCGAUGCAGAAGCAGCAGACACUUCUGUCCCGCUUGGUCUCUCCAACAGAGAUGAAGGAGCAGUGGGAACACCUGCCCCGAUCAAUCACUCCAAUACGGCUGGAGUAGCAGAGGCAACUUCUGCCCCACUCCAUCUCUCCAACACUGAUGCAGUGGAAGCGGCAGCUUAUGCCCCAUUUGAUGACAACUAUGUAGAUGGAGUAGCAGCGGCAAUUUCUGCCUUGUUUGGUCUCUCUAACGCCGAUGCAGGAGCAGCGGGCACUUCUGUCCCACUUGGUCUCUCCAACACAGAUGGAGAAGCAGCGGCAGUUUUUGCCUUGUUUGAUGACUCCUACACAGAUGAAGCGACUUCUGCACCACUCCAUCUCUCCAACAGCGACGUACUGGAAGCGGCAGUUUAUGCCCCAUUUGAUGACAACUACAUAGAUGGAGUAGCGGCAAUUUUCUGCCUUGUUUGGUCUCUCUAACACCAAUGGAAUAUCAGUGGACACUUCUGACCCGCUUGGUCUCUCCAACACAUAUGGAGAAGCAGCAGCAGUUUAUGCCCCAUUCAAUGACUCCUACACAGCUGGAGCAGCAGAAGCAACUUCUGCCCCACUCCAUCUCUCCAACACCGAUGUACUGGAAGCGGCAGUUUAUGCCCCAUUUGAUGACAACUACAUAGAUGGAGUAGCAGCGGCAAUUUCUGCCCUGUUUGGUCUCUCUAACACCAAUGGAAUAUCAGAGGACACUUCUGUCCCGCUUGGUCUCUCCAACACAGAUGGAGAAGCAGCGGCAGUUUUUGCCUUGUUUGAUGACUCCUACACAGAUGAAGUAGCAGAAGCAACUUCUGCCCCACUCCAUCUCUCCAACACCGACGUACUGGAAGCAGCAGUUUAUGCUCCAUUCGAUGACAACUACAUAGAUGGAAUAGCAGAAGCAAUUUCUGACCUGUUUGGUCUCUCUAACACCGCUGCAGUAACAGCAGACACUUCUGCCACGCUUGUUCUCUCCAACAGAGAUGGAGUAGCAGUGGGAACACCUGCCCCGAUCAAUUACUCCAACACGGCUAGCGUAGCAGAGGCAACUUCUGCCAUGUUCGGUCUCUCCAACACGGAUGGAGUAGCAGCAGCAACUUCUGCCCCACUCAGUCUCUCCAACACGGAUGGAGUAGCAGCAGCAGCUUCUGCUUCGCUCGGUCUGACUGAAACCUUUGCAAGUCACUCAAGUUCAGCAAAUGAUGUUGAGCAGCGACUUAAGAGACAGCUAGAGCUAUGGUCUUCUUGGGUAGGAAACCUCUUUGGUGUCACACUUUCCUUCUUUGUAGAAAUGCAUAGUCUUGCUUCUCAAUAAAGUUCCUCCAUUUCACCA